AAGCUUGAGAAGUCCAUUAGGGGGAAGGAGAUUAUUCUGGAAUCUUAGUAGAGAAGAAAGAGGGGAGAAAAGGACACUUUGAGCUUUUGGCGUAAGAAGAGUGAGGAGGCAGUAGGUUUUGCUUUUGUGCUCAAAAACAAAGUAAAAAAAGGGGACAAGGUGACCGUGAAGGUUAGUGCAUAAAGGAAUUUCUAUGCUUAAAGCUUACUAAGAUUAGAGUGUUGAUCGAGGUUAAGACAAGGGAGGUCACAUUUUGGGGUUAAAGACCAUGGGGUAUUAGUCUAGUGUUUUGUGAUAGAGGAGGACUACUUCUAGUCUUUUUGUGGAGAUCAAAGUCCAUAGUAGGACCUUGGAUUUCAAGUUGUAAUUUUGGACCAUGUCUAGAAGCUUAAAUGUGUAUAUUAUAAUUCCAAUUAAGCUAUCUUUGGGGGAAGGAACUUUAAGACCAAGAGGUUGUUUAGGUUAUCUUGUGAUUGAUAUUUUGUUUAGCAGGCUUCGUAUUAUAACGAUUUUGUUUUUGUCGUAAUAAUACGGCCGGGUUAUGCUCAUUUUUGGGGCGUGACAUCUGU
Ipomoea nil (Japanese morning glory) is the source of this 569-nucleotide long non-coding RNA. RefSeq lists it as uncharacterized. The transcript is spliced from 2 exons. The record is from RefSeq and is a predicted model, not a curated record. NCBI's taxonomy places the organism in Eukaryota, Viridiplantae, Streptophyta, Magnoliopsida, Solanales, Convolvulaceae.